Molecule: long non-coding RNA, 732 nt
Filed under: Mus musculus (house mouse)
Lineage: Eukaryota; Metazoa; Chordata; Mammalia; Rodentia; Muridae
Description: predicted gene, 31369, transcript variant 2 (Gm31369)
Source: RNAcentral
AUUUUAAUUGGGGCCUGUGUGCAGGGCUCACCCUAGCUUCGGAGAACGAAGGCUUUCUCUGAUGGGUCUCUGCUCCUGAGCGUGUCACAAGCUCUUGAAAAACCACACGGAACAACCCAGAAAUAGCCAACAGACCAAAGGGAAAACGGUUUGGAGCCAGUUCCACAAAGCGACGGCUUGGUCACCAGGAUGGUGCUGACUGGACAGUGGAGAGCCUUUAGGAGAUGGAGCCUUCGCAAGGGAUUAUGGGAAUUUACUCUCCACACUCUGCUACAUCCUGGCUCCCAUGAAGCUCCUCUGGACGGCAGCAUCACCCCAUGACACGUUACAAGUUCCACAAUUACAGCUGAUUUCAUAUUACAUUUCACGGUGACUGCUUGCUGACGACCUAGAGACGUUCUUCAUUCCUGCACGCCGGCUGCCUCCCGACCACAGCGCAAAGUGACUCUUGUGCCCGUGUGCUGCUGGCCACCAGCUCAGCCAACAGGCCACAACAGCCAUGACCUUGUCCUGGGUGUCAGGGUGACUUGAGGACCACUCUCUACAAACAGUGGAGACUCCUACAGUGAAAGCCUCAAGUUGUAUCUGCUUCCAAGAGGGAGAUGGAGAGUCAGAGUCCCCCGAGGAUUUGAAUAACAGCAGAGAAAAAGCUGAGCUAGAUAGAGUGGCUUGGUGGCUGGAGAGAUGGCUCAGCGGUUAAGAGCACUGACUGCUCUUCCAGAGGUCCUGAGU